RNAcentral lists this ribosomal RNA (505 nucleotides) under uncultured bacterium. RNAcentral describes it as "partial 16S ribosomal RNA". It matches the Rfam family "Bacterial small subunit ribosomal RNA", at positions 28 to 507 of the family's 1533-position model. The record is from RNAcentral.
GACGAACGCUGGCGGCGUGCCUAAUACAUGCCAGUAGAACGCACAGUUUAUACCGUAGCUUGCUACACCAUACACUGUGAGUUGCGAACGGGUGAGUAACGCGUAGGUAACCUGCCUGGUAGCGGGGGAUAACUAUUGGAAACGAUAGCUAAUACCGCAUAAUAUUGAUUAUUGCAUGAUAAUUGAUUGAAAGAUGCUAUUGCAUCACUACCAGAUGGACCUGCGUUGUAUUAGCUAGUAGGUGAGGUAACGGCUCACCUAGGCGACGAUACAUAGCCGACCUGAGAGGGUGAUCGGCCACACUGGGACUGAGACACGGCCCAGACUCCUACGGGAGGCAGCAGUAGGGAAUCUUCGGCAAUGGACGAAAGUCUGACCGAGCAACGCCGCGUGAGUGAAGAAGGGUUUCGGAUCGUAAAGCUCUGUUGUAAGAGAAGAACGGGUGUGAGAGUGGAAAGUUCACACUGUGACGGUAUCUUAACAGAAAGGGACGGCUAACUACGUG